CCUACGGGUGGCUGCAGUGAGGAAUAUUGGUCAAUGGCCGGAAGGCUGAACCAGCCAAGUCGCGUGAGGGACGACUGCCCUCUGGGUUGUAAACCUCUUUUAUAAGGGAAGAAUAAAUGCUACGUGUAGCAUGAUGCCUGUACCUUAUGAAUAAGCAUCGGCUAACUCCGUGCCAGCCGCCGCGGUAAUAGGGAGGAUGCGAGCGUUAUCCGGAUUUAUUGGGUUUAAAGGGUGUGUAGGCGGUUUGUUAAGUUAGUGGUUAAACGCCGGGGCUUCACCUUGAUUUGUCAUUAAUACUGUAAGACUCGAGUUCAGACGAGGUAGGCAGAAUAAGUUAUGUAGCGGUGAAAUGCUUAGAUAUAAGGUAGAAUUCCGAUAGCGAAGGCAGCUUACCAGACUGCGACUGACGCUGAAGCACGAGAGCGUGGGUAGCGAACAGGAUUAGAUACCCUUGUAGUC
RNAcentral lists this ribosomal RNA (459 nucleotides) under uncultured bacterium. Its description in RNAcentral is "partial 16S ribosomal RNA". It matches the Rfam family "Bacterial small subunit ribosomal RNA", at positions 338 to 795 of the family's 1533-position model. The record is from RNAcentral.